Cordylochernes scorpioides is the source of this 69-nucleotide non-coding RNA. Lineage: Eukaryota; Metazoa; Arthropoda; Arachnida; Pseudoscorpiones; Chernetidae. The record is from the annotation of a GenBank genome assembly.
GCUUUUGGUUCAGUGGUAGAAUGCUUGCCAGCCAUGUGGGCGCCCCAGGUUCGAUUCCUGGCCGAUGCA